GCGGUGGAUGAUGUGGUUAAUUCGAUGCAACGCGAAAACCUUACCCACCUUGACAUGGCAGGAAUCCCGAAGAGAUUGGGAGUGCUCGAAAGAGAACCUGCACACAGGUGCUGCAUGGCUGUCGUCAGCUCGUGUCGUGAGAUGUUGGGUUAAGUCCCGCAACGAGCGCAACCCUUGCCAUUAGUUGCUACGAAAGGGCACUCUAAUGGGACUGCCGGUGACAAACCGGAGGAAGGUGGGGAUGACGUCAAGUCCUCAUGGCCCUUAUAGGUGGGGCUACACACGUCAUACAAUGGCCGGUACAGAGGGUAGCCAACCCGCGAGGGGGAGCCAAUCCCACAAAGCCGGUCGUAGUCCGGAUCGCAGUCUGCAACUCGACUGCGUGAAGUCGGAAUCGCUAGUAAUCGCGGAUCAGCAUGUCGCGGUGAAUACGUUCCCGGGUCUU
This 445-nucleotide ribosomal RNA is filed under the name uncultured Allobrachymonas sp. RNAcentral describes it as "bacterial SSU rRNA". It matches the Rfam family "Bacterial small subunit ribosomal RNA", at positions 929 to 1382 of the family's 1533-position model. The record is from RNAcentral. Lineage: Bacteria; Pseudomonadati; Pseudomonadota; Betaproteobacteria; Burkholderiales; Comamonadaceae.